GUCUUUCUGGCGCAAUCUGUUAGCGCGUUCGGCUGUCAAUUGAAAGGUUGGUGGUUCAAGCCCACCCAGAAUCA
Non-coding RNA from Danio rerio (zebrafish), 74 nucleotides. Lineage: Eukaryota; Metazoa; Chordata; Actinopteri; Cypriniformes; Danionidae. The record is from Rfam.